GGAUCUUUGCUUGAGCAACGACUUCCGCCCUUUUGAGCGUCUUCAUUCGUGGUAUAAGAGCUUCGCUAGCCUUGGCCGUUUUUGGUUUCCUGUGUUUCAUACCGAUACACGGAAUUGUUUGGUUUCAAUUGCCCCUUGUUCGUCUUAUGAUGCCCGCUUUCAGCGUGCGCGUCGUUGAUGAACCACGAAGUGCCCGUUGCCGUCCGCCACAGCCACGUUUACUAGCGUGUUGGAAGCGGCCUGUGAUAGGGUGCUUGUGCUCAUGGAUGCGGAACCUUCUUAGGGUACGGGGUUCGUCCCCAUUCUGCCCAAAAUGAUGCGUUCACCGCUAAUAAGCGAACGACCGUUGUUGGCGUCUUAGGCCGGCUGCCUCUAUGAGUCAUGCGGACCUGAGCGUCGACGAUGUCGGUAAGGA
Molecule: unclassified non-coding RNA, 415 nt
Filed under: Mitrasacme latiflora
Lineage: Eukaryota; Viridiplantae; Streptophyta; Magnoliopsida; Gentianales; Loganiaceae
Description: partial external transcribed spacer
Source: RNAcentral